UGGGGAAUAUUGGACAAUGGGCGAAAGCCUGAUCCAGCGACGCCGCGUGUGUGAAGAAGGCCUGCGGGUUGUAAAGCACUUUCGAUGGGAACGAAAUGUGCCGGGUUAAUACCCCGGUAAGCUGACGUUACUCAAUGAAGAAGCACCGGCUAACUCUGUGCCAGCAGCCGCGGUAAUACAGAGGGUGCGAGCGUUAAUCGGAAUUACUGGGCGUAAAGCGCACGUAGGUGGCGACGUAAGUCGGGUGUGAAAGCCCCGGGCUCAACCUGGGAAUUGCAUUCGAGACUGCAUUGCUGGAGUGCAGAAGGGGCAAUCGGAAUUCUUGGUGUAGCGGUGAAAUGCGUAGAUAUCAAGAGGAACACCUGAGGUGAAGACGGGUUGCUGGGCUGACACUGACGCUGAGGCGCGAAAGCCAGGGGAGCAAACGGGAUUAGAUACCCCAGUAGUCCCUGAGCGGGCUGGCAAGGCGCAU
Molecule: ribosomal RNA, 472 nt
Filed under: uncultured bacterium
Lineage: Bacteria
Description: bacterial SSU rRNA
Rfam family: Bacterial small subunit ribosomal RNA
Source: RNAcentral